This 547-nucleotide ribosomal RNA is filed under the name uncultured Glomeromycotina. RNAcentral's name for it is "SSU rRNA". It matches the Rfam family "Eukaryotic small subunit ribosomal RNA", at positions 548 to 1098 of the family's 1831-position model. The record is from RNAcentral. Lineage: Eukaryota; Fungi; Glomeromycota.
UUGGAGGGCAGUCUGGUGCAGCAGCCGCGGUAAUUCCAGCUCCAAUAGCGUAUAUUAAAGUUGUUGCAGUUAAAAAGCUCGUAGUUGAAUUUCGGGAUCAAUAUGUCGGUCGUGCCAUCGGUACGUACUGGUAUCAUUGGUCUCUCCUUUCUGACGAACCAUGAUGUCAUUAAUUUGGUGUUAUGGGGAGUUAGGACUGUUACUUUGAAAAAAUUAGAGUGUUUAAAGCAGGCAUUAGCUUGAAUACAUUAGCAUGGAAUAAUGAAAUAGGACGUUCGAACCUAUUUUGUUGGUUUCUAGGAUCAACGUAAUGAUUAAUAGGGAUAGUUGGGGGCAUUAGUAUUCAAUUGUCAGAGGUGAAAUUCUUGGAUUUAUUGAAGACUAACUACUGCGAAAGCAUUUGCCGAGGAUGUUUUCAUUAAUCAAGAACGAAAGUUAGGGGAUCGAAGACGAUCAGAUACCGUCGUAGUCUUAACCAUAAACUAUGCCGACUAGGGAUCGGAUGAUGUUAAUUUUUUAAUGACUCAUUCGGCGCCUUACGGGAAAC